GAUGAACGCUGGCGGCGUGCCUAAUACAUGCAAGUCGAGCGAACAGAUGAGGAGCUUGCUCCUCUGACGUUAGCGGCGGACGGGUGAGUAACACGUGGAUAACCUACCUAUAAGACUGGGAUAACUUCGGGAAACCGGAGCUAAUACCGGAUAAUAUAUUGAACCGCAUGGUUCAAUAGUGAAAGACGGUUUUGCUGUCACUUAUAGAUGGAUCCGCGCCGCAUUAGCUAGUUGGUAAGGUAACGGCUUACCAAGGCAACGAUGCGUAGCCGACCUGAGAGGGAGAUGGCCCACCUGGAACCUGAGCCCGGGCCCGACCCCCAGGGGGGGGCGCGGGUGGGGAUUUUCCCGCAUGGGCCAAAGCCCGGCGGGGCACCCCCGGGGGGGGGAAGAAGGUCUUAGGAACCAAAAACCUUUUUUAUGGGGAAAAAAAAAAGGCGAAAGAACAUAUGCCGGUCUGGAGGGUCCCUAAUAAAAAGGCCCGGACAACCUCGGUC
This 497-nucleotide ribosomal RNA is filed under the name uncultured bacterium. RNAcentral's name for it is "partial 16S ribosomal RNA". It matches the Rfam family "Bacterial small subunit ribosomal RNA", at positions 28 to 508 of the family's 1533-position model. The record is from RNAcentral.